Molecule: ribosomal RNA, 195 nt
Filed under: uncultured bacterium
Lineage: Bacteria
Description: partial 16S ribosomal RNA
Rfam family: Bacterial small subunit ribosomal RNA
Source: RNAcentral
UUCGGAUUGUAGGCUGCAACUCGCCUACAUGAAGUUGGAAUUGCUAGUAAUCAUAGGUCAGCAUACUAUGGUGAAUACGUUCCCGGGCCUUGUACACACCGCCCGUCACACCAUGAGAGUUGAGAAUACCCGAAGCCCAUGUCAAAGUGGUCGAAGGUAGGCUUGAUGAUUGGGGUGAAGUCGUAACAAGGUACC